This 312-nucleotide unclassified non-coding RNA is filed under the name Hevea brasiliensis (rubber tree). The record is from RNAcentral. Lineage: Eukaryota; Viridiplantae; Streptophyta; Magnoliopsida; Malpighiales; Euphorbiaceae.
GAGAUUACUCACUGUCAAUACAUCUGAUAAGCAUUGAUACUAUACUAAUACCUAUCUUAUAUUAAACUUAGUUCAAUAUGCAGAUGAAAUUGGUUUGAGUAGGGAAGUCAGACUAUGCCAGAUCGCAUUGUCAUCAUUCCCAACAUGUAGAACCUGUGCACAUACAUCAAUGAGGCUUCCUUGAAGUCUAGAAUGUAAGCCUAGUGAAUACACUAAAUACAAAGUCAGAAUUAUUGCAUAUUUUUGUUUCCAAAAAUGCUAAGCAGUUGCAGAACUACAGAACUCUGGAGUAGUACACAGAACACAUACUCU